AACGAACGCUGGCGGCAGGCCUAACACAUGCAAGUCGAGCGGACCUUUCGGGGUCAGCGGCGGACGGGUGAGUAACGCGUGGGAAUAUGCCCUUCUCUACGGAAUAGUCCUGGGAAACUGGGGGUAAUACCGUAUACGCCCUUUGGGGGAAAGAUUUAUCGGGGAAGGAUUAGCCCGCGUUGGAUUAGGUAGUUGGUGGGGUAAUGGCCCACCAAGCCGACGAUCCAUAGCUGGUUUGAGAGGAUGAUCAGCCACACUGGGACUGAGACACGGCCCAGACUCCUACGGGAGGCAGCAGUGGGGAAUCUUAGACAAUGGGGGCAACCCUGAUCUAGCCAUGCCGCGUGAGUGAUGAAGGCCUUAGGAUUGUAAAGCUCUUUCAGCUGGGAAGAUAAUGACGGUACCAGCAGAAGAAGCCCCGGCUAACUCCGUG
Molecule: ribosomal RNA, 433 nt
Filed under: uncultured bacterium
Lineage: Bacteria
Description: partial 16S ribosomal RNA
Rfam family: Bacterial small subunit ribosomal RNA
Source: RNAcentral